This 103-nucleotide microRNA precursor is filed under the name Marmota monax (woodchuck). The record is from RNAcentral. Lineage: Eukaryota; Metazoa; Chordata; Mammalia; Rodentia; Sciuridae.
AGUGAAAUAAUUGGGUCAAAUGGUGGUUCCAUUAUAAGUUUUCUGAGGAAUCUCGAUACUGCUUUCCAGAGUGAUUGUACCAGUUUUCAGUCCCUCCAGCAAU